Molecule: ribosomal RNA, 460 nt
Filed under: uncultured bacterium
Lineage: Bacteria
Description: partial 16S ribosomal RNA
Rfam family: Bacterial small subunit ribosomal RNA
Source: RNAcentral
CCUACGGGUGGCAGCAGUGAGGAAUAUUGGUCAAUGGACGCAAGUCUGAACCAGCCAUGCCGCGUGCAUGAAGACGGCUCUAUGAGUUGUAAACUGCUUUUGUACGAGGGUAAAUGCUGAUACGCGUAUCUGUCUGAAAGUAUCGUACGAAUAAGGAUCGGCUAACUCAGUGCCAGCAGCCGCGGUAAGACGGAGGAUUCAAGCGUUACCCGGAUUUAUUGGGUUUAACGGGUGCGUAGGCGGUCGGAUAAGUUAGAGGUGAAAUCCCGAGGCUCAACUUCGGAAUUGCCUCUGAUACUGUUCGGCUAGAGAGUAGUAGCGGUAGGCAGAAUGUAUGGUGUAGCGGUGAAAUGCUUAGAGAUCAUACAGAAUACCGGUUGCGAAGGCAGCUUACCAGGCUACUUCUGACGUUGAGGUACGAAAGCGUGGGGAGCAAACAGGAUUAGAUACCCUUGUAGUC